AAGAAAGCAGAGGGCGUGGGCAGGAGCUGGGGCUGCCUCCUUCCCAAACACUGACGGCUCCUGUUGACACAGACUUGAAAAUUCUGAGCGCUCAUGGACAUAUUAGCAUACUACAAAUAUCUAAAGGGGCUGUGAAAUAUCACUGAGAAGAAUGGUUCUUCUCAGGCCACUGAUUUGUGGAAGAGAGCAGGUCAGCAGUCCUGUAGAAUGUUCCAGAUAAGCUUUCACAUGCCCUUUGGAGAGUCACAUCCUAUUCUGAGAACCCCCAUUGUCUGAGCCAGCCCAUGGGGAGCACAGGCUUCAGGUUCUAAGCUCGGUGGUCUGGGAAGUCCCGGGAAGAGAAGAACUGAGCCACGGUCCCAGGAAGAGAAAAACAGAUAGUGGCCAGGCUCCAUGUGUGCCCGCCCUGCUCUCCUCAUCUCCCAUGGAUCCAUGUUCCUGAUCCUCACAGCUCUAGUCGUAUUCUCCACUUUCUGCAGAUGGGAUUUAAACCCAGGUCUUCUGGGUCCAGCGUUCCUGCUCUUAAUCAUCCAGGCCUAAGGACACGGGUUGAAAGUCAUUCACUGCUGCCUCUGGAGGUUGAGUUGUUUUAAAGUGCUGCGAUCUACUAAGUCUUCAGAAAUUAGUUGAUCCAACCGUAAUCUUCUGAGCACAUGAGCUUUCUUUUCUUGAAGACUCAUUACACUUUCCUUCAGCUUGUUCUCGGCAGGAUGAGUGACUGCCCGUCCUGGAGGCCUCCUCAGAAGCCUCAUACCUGGCUCUCCGAUGGAGCCCACGGUUCUUCUGUACUUCCUCCCUAUGGUUCCUGGGCCUGGAGUGUGGGCUGGACAGGGCAAGGCCUGGAUUGUGUUCAUUAAACAAGAAGAUAAGCUCAUGGUUACCACAGGGAUGUUCUGUUUGUGCCCCUGCUAGGGUUUUGCUUGGCUUUGGAAGCCUUUCAUGUGCCCCGAAUGCUAUAAACCCUUGCAAUAAAUGUGAAGUGUAUAUAGUUUCUGCUACUUAUGGGAGGCAUUGAGGGAGUUAAGCACAGUGGCUUUUGUGUCUGCAGAUUUGAGCUGAAAUUCCAGUUCUGCAGCAUAGGGCUUAACAGGUUCACUCCCCUUCCCCAUCCUCUCAUCCCCCAGGGCUUUACUCUCUCUUCCUUCCACCUGGAUAGAUGCCCUUCUCAUCUUCACACAGCAGAACACUGCUUGUUCUGAGAGCUCGCCCUGCUGAUUCUUCUUCCAUGAGUCAGAAAGCCCACUUCACUUAUAGGAUGAGAACAUGGAUUUAAAAUCAGACAAAUCUGGGUUCAUACCGUCCUUUUGCUAGCUAGACAAUGAUUGGAGUUUGUCAGUUUCCUUGAGAAAAAAAGGGAUAAUGAUAUUCCUACCUUUUAAGGUAAUGGCAGACAUUAGGAAAAUAUAAACAUAAAAUUAUUAGUAGAGAUUUGAUGAGUAGCCAGUGCUCAGUAAUAACUAGGCAAUUCUUGAUUGUGUCUGAAUGAGUUUGUGAGUGCAUAUGAGAGUGUGUGUAUGUGAGUGUUAUGCGUGCUCACACAUGUGUCUGGUAAAGGGCAGAUAUUCAUAUAGCUGCUCAGGUUGGUGGAAAUAAUUUCUUUUUACUUUUAUUCUAUUGUUCCUCCCAGGACUGAGUUUCUGGCCUGUCUCACUUUUGACGUCUAAUAUUGCGUUGGUUAAGAGUGCCUUCUCUCUCCCCCACUCUACAGAUAUUCAGAAGUAACUGUGAAGUAAUUGUGGAUGGGAUCCAUGUCUACUUGGUAUGUUUGUCUCCUGAGCAUCUGUUGCCAGUGUAAUUUCAUGACAAUCAUCAAUAUGUAUUGAAUAAAACAAUGGAUAUGUGAGUGGCUGCAGUAUCCCCAAGUCAUUUUGAACUGUGAUUUUUACAUGCCAGGGCCAUCAUCAGAAAAUAUUUAUGUGUUACUUACCUAAGUCAGCACAAUGCAGGCCAGUGAAUGCUCAAAGAAACUGGAAAUUCAGGUCCUGCCCUCUAGCUCACCUCUUAAGGGGUUGGCCUGCCCAAACUCUGUUAUCACUGGAA
RNAcentral lists this long non-coding RNA (2040 nucleotides) under Homo sapiens (human). Its description in RNAcentral is "HSALNT0026460". Lineage: Eukaryota; Metazoa; Chordata; Mammalia; Primates; Hominidae. The record is from RNAcentral.